Long non-coding RNA from Girardinichthys multiradiatus, 1804 nucleotides. RefSeq lists it as uncharacterized. The record is from RefSeq and is a predicted model, not a curated record. Lineage: Eukaryota; Metazoa; Chordata; Actinopteri; Cyprinodontiformes; Goodeidae. The transcript is spliced from 2 exons.
UUCCUGUCAGUUCAGUCUGUGUGGUGUUAGGUUUCAUUACUCUGUAAUCUGGUUUGCUUUAUGGGUUCCUUGUUCGUUCUUAGGUUUGGUGUUUCUUAUGUUCCUUCUAGUUUCUCGGUUCAUGAUUAUUCUUUACUCUCAUGCUUCAUUUCAUUAUUUGUUUAUAGCUUCAUUUUGGUAUUGUUUAUUAGUCCCUCGUCAUGUUUUAAUCUAUGUAUUGUUUUCACCUGUUCCCUCUGCCUUCCUGACUCCUUGUCUCACCUGUUCUUAGUUCCUUUGAUUACCUGCCUUUGUUCUCCCUCUGUAUAUAAGUUGGUUUUGUUUCAUUGCUCUUUGCUGGUUUCUUGUCGCUCUCAGUUGCUGUCCUCGUUCAUGACAUGUUCCUGCAGUGUCGCAGCCUUGUACGUUUUUUUUGGAUUCUGGUUCUGUGUUGUACCUCCAGUGAUUACGUUACGUUUCUGAUCCUUUAAAUAAAAUAAGGAUUCACUUAAGAUGCUGCUUCCAAGCUCUUGUCUGCACUUCGGUCCACCCCAAAACCUCAACGUGACAAACAGAAUACCACUUUCCCUUUUUUAUGGACUCAUAAAAAAUUGCAUGACAGUAAGAAGAGGAGCUACAAUUUUUUGCAGUCUCCAGGCUUUGUAACAAGAAAUUGGGAAAACCCGCCAAAAGUCAAAAGCUUGUGAAGGACUAAAUUUGAAUCGCCUUCUGAGCAUCUGACGGUAUAGGCGAGAGCUUGGAAAAGAAACAACAAGAACAAUGAAACAAAUACUGCUGGGGAGUUUCCAGAUUUCCUGUAAAUGCAACUGUUCCAUCUAAAUCAAGGCUGAAUGAUGUCUAACGACAAACCUGAAUGCAUUGUACAGCAAUUUUAUUUAAUAGACAACCCAAAACAGUGCAUAACUGUGAAGCAGAAGGAAAAUUAUAUGUGUGUUUUUUUUUUAUCAUUUUGUCAAACAAAAUCAGAAAAGUGUAUGGCACCCUGUACAUGUCAUCCUCAGAGUAAGACAUGGUGGUGGAAGCAUCAUGCAGUGGAAGUGUUUUUCUUGAACAGAGAAGCUGGUCAGAGUUAAUAGUAAGAUCGAUUAAGCUGAACACAUGGUAUUUUUUCACCAUUUGUCAGCGUUUGUAUUUUUGAGUGUGAUUGUAUAAGCCCUGUAUAAAUUCAGUCCAUCUAUUUUCCCUCAGUUUCCCAGAUCUGCUUCUUUUCCAGCUGCUCCACAUUGCAAAGACUGAUUACACCUGCUUCCCAUGCCACUUUUCUAUUAUCUCAGUACAUAAAAGCUUCACUACUUUGUUGCCUCCAAGCCAGAUUCUCUGUUCUUCACUGUAAGCUUCCUUUAUGCUGGUUCUCUUUGCCCCAGUUGAGUUAAUGUUUCCAGUCACUUAUUAUUCAGCUCUCUCAUGCCAGUUCUAAGUCUUUCAUUCAGUGACCAACAUGUGGCUACCGCUGUCCUGUCUGCACUUGGGUCAAGGCCGUAACAAUCACUGAACAUGAAAGAGGAAUCUAUUUGCAUAGGGCCAGCGGAAAACUAUCUCCACUGAGGAAUUUAAUUGAUUAAAAUCAGUGGCGAGGGAAUGCAUGUAAUAGAUGAUGGUGGACUGCUGGAGAACAACCCCAAACUGCCUCCCCUCGCUAUCAUAAUAAACUGUGUCUACUGUGAAUCACCUCCAGGUCCUAAGAAUUACCCAUUCUCAGGACAGGAACUGACUCCUCAGACAUAGACACUGUUAGGAAAAAAGCCCAGCAGAAAUUGUACUUCCUGUGGCAAUGAAAGAAGCACAACCUUCCACAGGAGCUGCU